RNAcentral lists this long non-coding RNA (325 nucleotides) under Ananas comosus (pineapple). RNAcentral describes it as "long non-coding RNA (ACOM_LNC032211)". The record is from RNAcentral. Lineage: Eukaryota; Viridiplantae; Streptophyta; Magnoliopsida; Poales; Bromeliaceae.
CGGUUAUAACUAUCAUUUUAAUAGUGCCUAGAAAUAUAUUUGUAAAAUAUAUUUGUAAAAUAUGUUUGUAAAAAUAUGUUUGUAAGUAAAAUAUUUAAAGAGUUCAUAUGUAUAAUAUGAAAAAAAAUGACAACUUAUAUUUAUUGAUAAACAAUUAUUAUUGAUAAAUAUUUAUUAAUAAACAGUUAUUAAUAAACUUCAAACCAAACCACAGGGGGGCAAAUUGAAACAUUUUAAACCACAGGGGGACAAAGUGAGAAACUACGAAACCACAGGGUGGGCAAAGUGAGAAACUACGAAACCACGGGGGGUUUGAAGCUUUCCC